RNAcentral lists this ribosomal RNA (473 nucleotides) under Enterococcus faecium. RNAcentral's name for it is "bacterial SSU rRNA". It matches the Rfam family "Bacterial small subunit ribosomal RNA", at positions 17 to 465 of the family's 1533-position model. The record is from RNAcentral. Lineage: Bacteria; Bacillati; Bacillota; Bacilli; Lactobacillales; Enterococcaceae.
UCCUGGCUCAGGACGAACGCUGGCGGCGUGCCUAAUACAUGCAAGUCGUACGCUUCUUUUUCCACCGGAGCUUGCUCCACCGGAAAAAGANGAGUGGCGAACGGGUGAGUAACACGUGGGUAACCUGCCCAUCAGAAGGGGAUAACACUUGGAAACAGGUGCUAAUACCGUAUAACAAUCGAAACCGCAUGGUUUUGAUUUGAAAGGCGCUUUCGGGUGUCGCUGAUGGAUGGACCCGCGGUGCAUUAGCUAGUUGGUGAGGUAACGGCUCACCAAGGCCACGAUGCAUAGCCGACCUGAGAGGGUGAUCGGCCACAUUGGGACUGAGACACGGCCCAAACUCCUACGGGAGGCAGCAGUAGGGAAUCUUCGGCAAUGGACGAAAGUCUGACCGAGCAACGCCGCGUGAGUGAAGAAGGUUUUCGGAUCGUAAAACUCUGUUGUUAGAGAAGAACAAGGAUGAGAGUAACUGU